RNAcentral lists this ribosomal RNA (253 nucleotides) under uncultured bacterium. Its description in RNAcentral is "partial 16S ribosomal RNA". It matches the Rfam family "Bacterial small subunit ribosomal RNA", at positions 524 to 776 of the family's 1533-position model. The record is from RNAcentral.
UACGGGGGGGGCAAGCGUUGUUCGGAAUUACUGGGCGUAAAGGGCGCGUAGGCGGCCAACUAAGUCAGACGUGAAAUCCCUCGGCUUAACCGGGGAACUGCGUCUGAUACUGGAUGGCUUGAGUUCGGGAGAGGGAUGCGGAAUUCCAGGUGUAGCGGUGAAAUGCGUAGAUAUCUGGAGGAACACCGGUGGCGAAGGCGGCAUCCUGGACCGACACUGACGCUGAGGAGCGAAAGCCAGGGGAGCAAACGGG